Molecule: long non-coding RNA, 254 nt
Filed under: Manihot esculenta (cassava)
Lineage: Eukaryota; Viridiplantae; Streptophyta; Magnoliopsida; Malpighiales; Euphorbiaceae
Description: long non-coding RNA (MESC_LNC007212)
Source: RNAcentral
UUGAAUGUACAUUAUGCUAUGAAGUCAGCAAGGGCUUGAGAUUUUAUAGCUGUCCAAGGUCGAUACUCUAAGCAGUAAGGGCUAAUCUCUACGGACCAAGCCAGCAUUCGGCCUGAGGUUUCCGGCCUGUGUAGAAUCUUUUUCAGGGGUUGGUCCGUCAUUACUAUUCCCUGGUGGCCUUCCAGAUAAACUUUGAAUUUCCGAACUGCUAGUAGUAGAGCGUAGGCCAUUUUCUCAAUGUUCGAAUAUCUGAC